Solea senegalensis (Senegalese sole) is the source of this 932-nucleotide long non-coding RNA. RefSeq lists it as uncharacterized. The record is from RefSeq and is a predicted model, not a curated record. NCBI's taxonomy places the organism in Eukaryota, Metazoa, Chordata, Actinopteri, Pleuronectiformes, Soleidae. The transcript is spliced from 3 exons.
GGUUGAUCUAAAUUCAGGAAAGAAAUAAUGAAAAGACAAAAGAAGGAGAUUGAAAACUAAUAAUAAUGUAUUAGAAAGUAGACAACAAUUGAAUUUCACCUCUAGUCUGCUGAUACAGUCGUUUUUACAUCUUUUAAACUACCGAGCUGCUAACAACACUGAUCCAUCUAUUUAAAAAAAAACAAAAAAAUAUUCUGCUGCUCUCAUCAAUAACUAAACAUCCCAACAUUGUAUUAGUGAAGCAUUUGUGCAAGAUUUUGGGUUUAAGGAUCGAUUGGAUUUAAAAUGUUGUAAUUUUGACAGUUUUUGGACCAAUAUCAGCACUAAAUAUUGGCUCAUCCCUUUUUAUUUACACCACAUUGAGACUUGUUUUGUUAUUUUUUACAUUUCAGUUGCAGUGGGAAACUUCUGGCAUCCGGGAUUGUAAUCCCAGAUUACCGUUGGAUGCUCUACACGACGCUGGAGCGGGACAAAGAUUAACGGCGGCCGUGGCAAAGCUCAGGAGGCCUGCUUUACUGGAAGAGGUGUGGUAACAUGAAUCCAGUGAGCAAGCGGAAAUAAAGCCAUUCAUUGAUUGGGAAUAAGGGUUUCCUCUUACCAGCUGACUGGACUGCGGCCUUCACGCUGUCCGCCUCAGCAAUCUGCGGGGAAAUAAUGGACAUUGAGCAAAUCAUUUCCACCCAGGAUGUCCACUCAGAUUAAUAAUGUUUGCUAUUUGUGUGACCAUAAAGUCCGUUUGGCAGGAUAUUGGAUGAACAAAUUGUGCUGUGGUCUCACCUGCUCCUGUAGUGGUUUUUCCUCUGUCAACUCUCUUAUGUUCACAGUUUUAUCUGCAAAGAAAAAUAAAAUGCCUGCAAUUAAUAAUCUACCAUAAUCUAUGUGUUUAUAAUGUUAAAUUGUGUGUUGUUUUUAAACAUGUGUAUGUCUUGAAA